AGGGAUGUAGUUAAGUAUAACAUUUGAUUUGCACUCAAAAAGUACCAUUCUUGGUCUUCCUCA
RNAcentral lists this transfer RNA (63 nucleotides) under Diaphanosoma excisum. RNAcentral's name for it is "tRNA-Ala". It matches the Rfam family "tRNA". Rfam says of the family: Transfer RNA (tRNA) molecules are approximately 80 nucleotides in length. Their secondary structure includes four short double-helical elements and three loops (D, anti-codon, and T loops). Lineage: Eukaryota; Metazoa; Arthropoda; Branchiopoda; Diplostraca; Sididae. The record is from RNAcentral.